RNAcentral lists this ribosomal RNA (253 nucleotides) under uncultured bacterium. Its description in RNAcentral is "partial 16S ribosomal RNA". It matches the Rfam family "Bacterial small subunit ribosomal RNA", at positions 524 to 776 of the family's 1533-position model. The record is from RNAcentral.
UACGUAGGGUGCAAGCGUUAAUCGGAAUUACUGGGCGUAAAGCGUGCGCAGGCGGUUUUGUAAGUCUGUCGUGAAAGCCCCGGGCUCAACCUGGGAAUGGCAAUGGAUACUGGCAGGCUAGAGUGCGGUAGAGGGUAGUGGAAUUCCCGGUGUAGCGGUGAAAUGCGUAGAGAUCGGGAGGAACACCAGUGGCGAAGGCGGCUACCUGGACCAGCACUGACACUGAGGCACGAAAGCGUGGGGAGCAAACAGG